This 481-nucleotide ribosomal RNA is filed under the name uncultured bacterium. RNAcentral's name for it is "partial 16S ribosomal RNA". It matches the Rfam family "Bacterial small subunit ribosomal RNA", at positions 28 to 507 of the family's 1533-position model. The record is from RNAcentral.
GAUGAACGCUGGCGGCGUGCUUAACACAUGCAAGUCGAACGAAGCAUUUGCGACAGAUUUUUUCGGAAUGAAGUUGCUUAUGACUGAGUGGCGGACGGGUGAGUAACGCGUGGGUAACCUGCCUUGUACUGGGGGAUAGCAGCUGGAAACGGCUGGUAAUACCGCAUAAGCGCACAAUGUUGCAUGACAUGGUGUGAAAAACUCCGGUGGUAUAAGAUGGACCCGCGUCUGAUUAGCUGGUUGGUGAGAUAACAGCCCACCAAGGCGACGAUCAGUAGCCGAGCUGGGAGGGUGACAGGCCACAUUGGGACUGAGACACGGCCCAGACUCCUACGGGAGGCAGCAGUGGGGAAUAUUGCACAAUGGAGGAAACUCUGAUGCAGCGACGCCGCGUGAGUGAAGAAGUAAUUCGUUAUGUAAAGCUCUAUCAGCAGGGAAGAUAGUGACGGUACCUGACUAAGAAGCUCCGGCUAAAUACGUG